This is a non-coding RNA of Electrophorus electricus (electric eel), 1711 nucleotides long. Lineage: Eukaryota; Metazoa; Chordata; Actinopteri; Gymnotiformes; Gymnotidae. The record is from RefSeq and is a predicted model, not a curated record.
GGUCCCAAGGCCGUACGAGGGUAGGGGGAGCUGCCGAAGAGGACCUGUGAGGGGAAAAGGACUUAGUCAAUAAAGGCUCAUAUUUACAGUUAUAAGUUGAGCACGGUAAACUGGAGGUGUCCUGUAUUGUCGGUGUGGUGAACCCGUGCUCCGUCCUUGAUGCAAAACUGUGUAAAUCCUGGUAUUCCUGUGGAUCACGCCAUCCUCCGACGGGGAGUCCUCACAGACGGUGGCGAGGCCAUCAGGAGCCUUCGUGUUGAUGAACCCACCCCUGCUGUGAGGGUCCAGUGAAGGCCAGUGUGAAGACCCUUAUUGAGGGGCAAGGGUGUGGCCCUGAUGGAAAAGGCAGUUGGGUGCGGGGGGACACCUGGACGUUGUCACGCACAGGGGUCUUCCCUGGAGGUGAAUUCAUUGCGCUGGAGACUGUCACUGCCCUGAAAGGGAGUAUGGUGUGACUGCUGCUAUCCAGAGAGCUUUGCUCUUUGGUCCAGUGGUUAGAGCUCAUGUUUACCUCCUGUUAAGAGUUUGAGCCCCAGUUAGGGUGGUUGCGUUUAGCCUUCAUUACAUGAUGCAUUUAUUUGUUAAUGGUAUGACAUUUAUCUAAUGUGACUGCAUUGUACCAUAUCGUGUCUGAACAUAGAUUUCCUGUGUCACAAAACACACUGAUGAAUGGCUGAUGGCUUGAAGUGGGAAAAUUUGUCAGACCAUAUUCUCUCAGAGCGGUGAAAACCUGUGUGUGUAAUAAACGAUUGCUUAUGCAUAGUUUUCUAGACUUUCAAUGUCUAUAUUGCUGUGUGCCUUCUGCUACCUGUGUUUAGUUGCGUUAGCGACAUUAAAUGCUCUUUCUAAGAGGUCAUUAGGAGCCUUGUAUUGGCACAUUCACAGCACCACAGUGGAAUGCGAUAGAAUUGAGAGUUGCCUGAAUUUCAGGGUGGUUUGCACUCAUUUAUGAGACAAAAUCGGCGAUUCAUUCAGUAAACACAAAUUCAAAUGUAUAGCGACUACGAAAUGGAUCUUUUCCAUUGAACGUUAUAGGCAUAUCACUGUAAGUGAAGUGUAGUGUGCCAAUGCAUUUCACUGUGUUCAGUUGUAAUGACUGUAUUUCACUGAGGCAUAUACGUUUGAAGUAGAAAGCAAUAUAGUUCAGCUUUGAUUACAUUUUAAGGUGGACUGUAUGCUAUUAUAUUCUGACACAAAUGCAGCAUUUUUAAUUGUAAGGUCUUAUGUUUAGUUUUUCAGUAAAGAUCAAAUGAUAUGAAAACAAUUUAGUAGUGGGGUUGCUUUUAAUUUUGGAACGAAUUCCAUAUGUCGCUAUCAAAUGGUAAUGCCAUGUGUGUAUUACAUUUCAUGUUUUUCCAUUGUUGUGAUCGUAUGCAGUUGUGAUGGACUUUGUAACAGUCCAGUCCAGUAAGGUCUGGAUAAGCGAAUGAAUGGUGGUUGCGCUGGUAGUUUCAAAGGGCCCGGACAAAGGGCGGGCCAGAUCUGUCAUUCCACAUGCGUCCACAGCUCAGGGCUUGAUUGCCAAAAACGUCUCACUGAAAACAUUAUUUUGCUGAGAGAGAGACAAAGCGGCCUUUAUUUUUUAAUGGUUUUUUUUUUUGUGUGUGUGUGUGUGUAUGUGUAUGUGUGUGUGUGUGUGUGUCAGCCACUGAUACUCUUGUCUACAAACCUGAGAGAACAGCUGAAUAUUAAGUGCUUUCUACUACACAAA